CCAGAUGGCCGGAUGGCCGCCUCUCGGCAAUGGGGAAACCCGCCGGGGGGAGGAAAGUCCGGGCUCCACGGAAACACGGUGCCGGGUAACACCCGGCGGGGGCGACCCCAGGGAAAGUGCCACAGAAAGCAAACCGCCUGUUCCUUCCCCCGGGGAAGAAAUCGGCAAGGGUGAAAGGGUGCGGUAAGAGCGCACCGCGCGCGCCGGUAACGGCCGCGGCACGGUAAACCCCACCGGGAGCAAGCCCGAAUAGGGACGGCAGGCCAAGCCAACGCGUUUCCGCGUCGCCGUCCGGGUAGGGUGCAAGAGGCGUCCGGUAACGGGCGUCCCAGAUGAAUGGCUAUCCCCCCUUUGGGGGACAGAACCCGGCUUACAGGUCAUCUGGCAUU
RNAcentral lists this RNase P RNA (389 nucleotides) under Alphaproteobacteria bacterium. Its description in RNAcentral is "RNase P RNA component class A". It matches the Rfam family "Bacterial RNase P class A". Rfam says of the family: Ribonuclease P (RNase P) is a ubiquitous endoribonuclease, found in archaea, bacteria and eukarya as well as chloroplasts and mitochondria. The record is from RNAcentral. Lineage: Bacteria; Pseudomonadati; Pseudomonadota; Alphaproteobacteria.